This 253-nucleotide ribosomal RNA is filed under the name uncultured bacterium. Its description in RNAcentral is "partial 16S ribosomal RNA". It matches the Rfam family "Bacterial small subunit ribosomal RNA", at positions 524 to 776 of the family's 1533-position model. The record is from RNAcentral.
UACAGAGGGGGCAAGCGUUGUUCGGAAUUACUGGGCGUAAAGGGCGCGUAGGCGGCCUGUUAAGUCGAACGUGAAAUCCCCGGGCUCAACCCGGGAACUGCGUCCGAUACUGGCAGGCUUGAAUCCGGGAGAGGGAUGUGGAAUUCCAGGUGUAGCGGUGAAAUGCGUAGAUAUCAGGAGGAACACCGGUGGCGAAGGCGGGUCUCUGGGCCGAAACUGACGCUGAGGAGCGAAAGCGUGGGGAGCAAACAGG